Sander lucioperca (pikeperch) is the source of this 142-nucleotide long non-coding RNA. RefSeq lists it as uncharacterized. The record is from RefSeq and is a predicted model, not a curated record. NCBI's taxonomy places the organism in Eukaryota, Metazoa, Chordata, Actinopteri, Perciformes, Percidae. The transcript is spliced from 3 exons.
UAUAUAUAUGUCUAUGAUCGUUCCACACUGAACUUUUUGACCGUUAUUAGCGGGUCAUCCGGGUACUUUCAGUGCUCUGACUUUUUGCGUUACACGAUAUACUUCAAACUAAGUGUUUGAAGUGUGCCAGUAAGAGGUUUGA